This 837-nucleotide ribosomal RNA is filed under the name uncultured alveolate. Its description in RNAcentral is "SSU rRNA". It matches the Rfam family "Eukaryotic small subunit ribosomal RNA", at positions 47 to 908 of the family's 1831-position model. The record is from RNAcentral.
AGCCAUGCAUGUCUAAGUAUAAAUAGUAUACAGUGAAACUGCGAAUGGCUCAUUAAAACAGUUAUAGUUUAUUUGAUAAUUGAAUACUACAUGGAUAACCGUGGUAAUUCUAGAGCUAAUACAUGCGUUAAAACCCGACUUUUUGGAAGGGUUGUAUUUAUUAGAUACCAAGCCAAUAUUCCUUCGGGUCUAUUGUGAUGAUUCAUAAUAACUGAUCGAAGCAGGGCCUGCCCUGCUAAAUCAUUCAAGUUUCUGCCCUAUCAGCUUUCGAUGGUAGUGUAUUGGACUACCAUGGCAGUCACGGGUAACGGGGAAUUAGGGUUCGAUUCCGGAGAGGGAGCCUGAGAAACGGCUACCACUUCUAAGGAAGGCAGCAGGCGCGUAAAUUACCCAAUCCUGACUCAGGGAGGUAGUGACAAGAAAUAACAACUCGGGGACUUCACGUCUUACGAGAUUGCAAUGAGAACAAUUUAAAACACUUAACGAGGAACAAUUGGAGGGCAAGUCUGGUGCCAGCAGCCGCGGUAAUUCCAGCUCCAAUAGCGUAUAUUAAAGUUGUUGCAGUUAAAAAGCUCGUAGUUGAAUUUAUGGCGAUUGUAUAAGCUGGCUUCGGUCGUUUAUAUGGUCGUCAUCCGCUUGGGAACCCCAUUCGGUCUUCAUUGGUCGGUGGGAGGAUCAGGCAUUUUACUUUGAAAAAAUAAGAGUGUUCAAGGCAGGCAAUCGCCAUGAAUACACAAGCAUGGAAUAAUGGAAUAGGACUGUGAUCCAUUUUAUUGGUUAUUGGAUUACAGUAAUGAUUAAUAGGGACAGUUGGGGGCAUUAGUAUUUAAUUGUCAG